GGAGGGGUGGCAGAGUGGUUGAAUGCGGCGGUCUCGAAAACCGUUUCAGGCCUGAUUGGUCUGACGAGGGUUCGAAUCCCUCCCCCUCCG
Molecule: transfer RNA, 90 nt
Filed under: Acidobacteriota bacterium
Lineage: Bacteria; Pseudomonadati; Acidobacteriota
Description: tRNA-Ser
Rfam family: tRNA
About the family: Transfer RNA (tRNA) molecules are approximately 80 nucleotides in length. Their secondary structure includes four short double-helical elements and three loops (D, anti-codon, and T loops). Further hydrogen bonds mediate the characteristic L-shaped molecular structure. tRNAs have two regions of fundamental functional importance: the anti-codon, which is responsible for specific mRNA codon recognition, and the 3' end, to which the tRNAs corresponding amino acid is attached (by aminoacyl-tRNA synthetases). tRNAs cope with the degeneracy of the genetic code in two manners: having more than one tRNA (with a specific anti-codon) for a particular amino acid; and 'wobble' base-pairing, i.e. permitting non-standard base-pairing at the 3rd anti-codon position.
Source: RNAcentral